GAAAUGCGAUAAGUAAUGUGAAUUGCAGAAUUCAGUGAAUCAUCGAAUCUUUGAACGCCCCUUGCGCUCCUUGGUAUUCCUUGGAGCAUGCCUGUUUGAGUAUCAUGAAAUCUUCAAAGUAAAUCUUUUGUUAACUCAAUUGGUUUCUACUUUGGUAUUGGAGGUCUUUGCAGCUUCACACCUGCUCCUCUUUGUUCAUUAGCUGGAUCUCAGUGUUAUGCUUGGUUCCACUCGGCGUGAUAAGUUAUCUAUCGCUGAGGACACUGUAAAAGGUGGCCAAGGUAAAUGCAGAUGAACCGCUUCUAAUAGUCCAUUGACUUGGACAAUACUUUUAUGAUCUGAUCUCAAAUCAGGUAGGACUACCCACUGAACUUAAGC
Molecule: unclassified non-coding RNA, 378 nt
Filed under: plant metagenome
Description: partial contains 5.8S ribosomal RNA, internal transcribed spacer 2, and large subunit ribosomal RNA
Rfam family: 5.8S ribosomal RNA (bases 1-105)
Source: RNAcentral